This 253-nucleotide ribosomal RNA is filed under the name uncultured bacterium. RNAcentral's name for it is "partial 16S ribosomal RNA". It matches the Rfam family "Bacterial small subunit ribosomal RNA", at positions 524 to 776 of the family's 1533-position model. The record is from RNAcentral.
UACGUAGGGUGCAAGCGUUGUCCGGAAUUAUUGGGCGUAAAGGGCUCGUAGGCGGUUUGUCGCGUCGGGAGUGAAAUCCACUGGCUUAACUGGUGGCUUGCUUUCGAUACGGGCAGACUGGAGGUAUGCAGGGGAGAACGGAAUUCCUGGUGUAGCGGUGAAAUGCGCAGAUAUCAGGAGGAACACCGGUGGCGAAGGCGGUUCUCUGGGCAUGUCCUGACGCUGAGGAGCGAAAGUGUGGGGAGCGAACAGG